UAGGGAAUCUUCCACAAUGGACGCAAGUCUGAUGGAGCAACGCCGCGUGAGUGAAGAAGGUUUUCGGACCGUAAAGCUCUGUUGUUGGUGAAGAAGGAUAGAGGUAGUAACCGGCCUUUAUUUGACGGUAAUCAACCAGAAAGUCACGGCUAACUACGUGCCAGCAGCCGCGGUAAUACGUAGGUGGCAAGCGUUGUCCGGAUUUAUUGGGCGUAAAGCGAGCGCAGGCGGAAGAAUAAGUCUGAUGUGAAAGCCCUCGGCUUAACCGAGGAAUUGCAUCGGAAACUGUUUUCUUGAGUGCAGAAGGGGAGAGUAGAACUCCAUGUGUAGCGGUGGAAUGCGUAGAUAUAUGGAAGAAUACCAGUGGCGAAGGCGGCUCUCUGGUCUGCAACUGACGCUGAGGCUCGAAAGCAUGGGUAGCGAACAGGAUUAGAUACCCUGGUAGUUCAUGCCGUAAACGAUGAGUGCUAAGUGUUGGGAGGCUUCCGCCUCUCAGUGCUGCAGCUAACGCAUUAAGCACUCCGCCUGGGGGAGUACGACCGCAAGGUUGAAAC
This 554-nucleotide ribosomal RNA is filed under the name uncultured bacterium. RNAcentral describes it as "partial 16S ribosomal RNA". It matches the Rfam family "Bacterial small subunit ribosomal RNA", at positions 355 to 900 of the family's 1533-position model. The record is from RNAcentral.